CCAGGCCCUACGGGGCGCAGCAGGCGCGAAACCUUCGCACUGCGCGAAAGCGCGACGAGGGGAGACCGAGUGCCUCUCCUUUUUUGGGGAGGCUUUUCACAAGCCUAAAAAGCUUGUGGAAUAAGGGCUGGGCAAGACGGGUGCCAGCCGCCGCGGUAAUACCCGCAGCUCAAGUGGUGGUCGCUUUUAUUGAGCCUAAAACGUUCGUAGUCGGCUUUGUAAAUCCUUGGGUAAAUCGGGCCGCUCAACGGUUCGAAUUCUGAGGAGACUGCAAAGCUAGGGACCGGGCGAGGUCAGAGGUACUUUCGGGGUAGGAGUGAAAUCCUGUAAUCCCGAAGGGACCACCUGUGGCGAAAGCGUCUGACUUGAACGGCUCCGACGAUGAGGAACGAAGGCUAGGGGAGCAAACCGGAUUAGAUACCCGGGUAGUCCUAGCUGUAAACUCUGCCCGCUUGGUGUGGCCUGUUCUUCGGGAGCAGGCUGUGCCGGAGCGAAGGUGUUAAGCGGGCUGCUUGGGGAGUACGGCCGCAAGGUUGAAACUUAAAGGAAUUGGCGGGGGAGCACCGCAACGGGAGGAUGCGUGCGGUUUAAUUGGAUUCAACGCCGGAAAACUCACCUGAGGCGACCAGCGUAUGUGUGUCAGGCUGAAGACCUUACUCGAACAAAAGCUGGAGAGGUGGUGCAUGGCCAUCGUCAGCUCGUACCGUAGGGCAUUCACUUAAGUGUGAUAACGAGCGAGACCCCCAUCCCUAGUUGCCAACUUUUCCGAAGGGAAAGGUGCACUCUAGGGAGACCGCUUCUGCUAAAGAAGAGGAAGGAGGGGUCGACGGUAGGUCAGUAUGCCCCGAAUCCUCAGGGCUACACGCGCGCUACAAAGGACAGGACAAAGGGUUCCAACCCCGAAAGGGGAAGGUAAUCCCAAAACCUGUUCGUAGUCCGGAUUGAGGGCUGUAACUCGCCCUCAUGAAGAUGGAUUCCGUAGUAAUCGCGGAUCAACAGUCCGCGGUGAAUAUGCCCCUGCUCCUUGCACACACCGCCC
This 1039-nucleotide ribosomal RNA is filed under the name uncultured archaeon. RNAcentral's name for it is "bacterial SSU rRNA". It matches the Rfam family "Archaeal small subunit ribosomal RNA", at positions 316 to 1351 of the family's 1478-position model. The record is from RNAcentral.